This 756-nucleotide long non-coding RNA is filed under the name Exaiptasia diaphana. RNAcentral describes it as "uncharacterized LOC110242292, transcript variant X2". Lineage: Eukaryota; Metazoa; Cnidaria; Anthozoa; Actiniaria; Aiptasiidae. The record is from RNAcentral.
CGUUCCUCAGUCUUCAUCACCCACACCAGGUAUCAAUAAUAGACGUCUUCUGCAACAAACAAGAAUUCAUAUAAACACUUCUACAAGUCUUUACAGAGGUUGUAGUACAUCACAAGGUAGAUAGAAUUCCAAGUAUUUUCAAGCUCAUCAAGAGAGGCCGCUGUUCUACUGACCAAGAAAGCCACUAUCUAAAACCAAUGAUGUAUUUCAUUGGACAGCACUGAGAUUGAUAUUGAUGACACUCCAAGAAAGUGAAGACAUAAGAGAUACAACAAUAGCAUAUCAUAUCUGGGAACAUUGUACUGCGAAAACACACAGAAAGAAUAACAGGAAACUAUAAUUGUUUUCAUUGGAUGAGUUUAACGUUGCAGAGAAAGUAGAACGUGAGUGCAAAAUAAGUCACCUGGCAAUGUGGCUAUUAACAUUAACUAUCUUACGAAUUGAUGAUCCGAUAAAAGGCCAAUAGAAAGCUGUUAAUACUGAAUGCUUGAUUAAGUGUUCGAACAAGCUAUAUUNUGAUCAAAUCUUCCAGAAAUAAAAACGUGAGUGGAAUAGACACGCGUAUAUAACGAGUGGUUCUUUUAGAAGCUCUACAGGAUUUAAUCCACAGCUGGUGAUAAUAUCACUUGAAAAGAUAUCUCUUUUUGCAAUCCUGUGGUCCUGGUUCAAGUCUUAGGCACUGAUUGUAUGUAGGUUGAGCGAUCCUGUGGUCCUGGUUCAAGUCUUAGGCACUGAUUGUAUGUAGGUUGAGCGAUC